RNAcentral lists this ribosomal RNA (446 nucleotides) under uncultured soil bacterium. RNAcentral's name for it is "bacterial SSU rRNA". It matches the Rfam family "Bacterial small subunit ribosomal RNA", at positions 27 to 518 of the family's 1533-position model. The record is from RNAcentral.
GGAACGAACGCUGGCGGCAUGCCUAAUACAUGCAAGUCGAACGAACACUUCGGUGUUAGUGGCGCACGGGUGCGUAACGCGUGGGAAUCUGCCCUUGGGUUCGGAAUAACAGUUGGAAACGACUGCUAAUACCGGAUGAUAUCGAAAGAUCAAAGAUUUAUCGCCCAGGGAUGAGCCCGCGUAGGAUUAGCUAGUUGGUGAGGUAAAGGCUCACCAAGGCGACGAUCCUUAGCUGGUCUGAGAGGAUGAUCAGCCACACUGGGACUGAGACACGGCCCAGACUCCUACGGGAGGCAGCAGUAGGGAAUAUUGGACAAUGGGCGCAAGCCUGAUCCAGCAAUGCCGCGUGAGUGAUGAAGGCCUUAGGGUUGUAAAGCUCUUUUACCCGAGAUGAUAAUGACAGUAUCGGAGAAUAAGCCCCGGCUAAACUCCGUGCCAGCAGCCGC